CAACCAUGGCGAAUUCCAGUUCCAUUUCCCUUUAGUUAUCAAAUUUGUACUUCUGUUACUGCAUUCAAUAAAGAAGAAAUUUUCCCCAAAUUUGAUUAUUUUUUGAUUAGUUCAAUUUGUGCAAUUAAUUAGGUCAGGUUGUGACACAUUGAUUUCCUUGAUCCUUAUUAGUAUUCAAGAUUACGUUUCUACUGCGGAGGAACUUUUCAGCUUCAGCACAAGUGUCUCUGUAUCUAAUCUGCCCAACUGCUGCCACAACCGACAUCAUUGCAGGCUGCAUCAUCACAAGGAGAUAGAGCAUAUAAUCUGAGAGAAUCUUUGAUAUCUC
Molecule: long non-coding RNA, 328 nt
Filed under: Capsicum annuum
Lineage: Eukaryota; Viridiplantae; Streptophyta; Magnoliopsida; Solanales; Solanaceae
Description: long non-coding RNA (CANN_LNC016431)
Source: RNAcentral